Molecule: long non-coding RNA, 321 nt
Organism: Nanorana parkeri
Lineage: Eukaryota; Metazoa; Chordata; Amphibia; Anura; Dicroglossidae
Exons: 3
Source: RefSeq, a predicted model, not a curated record
CCAGGAGAUCAGGAACACAUUAUAGAAGAGGUAUGAGAUCCAGGGGAUGAGGAACACAUUAUAGAAGAGGUAUGAGAUCCAGGGGAUCAGGAACACAUUAUAGAAGAGGUAUGAGAUCCAGGGGAUGAGGAACACAUUAUAGAAGAGGUAUGAGAUCCAGGGGAUCAGGAACACAUUAUAGAAGAGGUAUGAGAUCCAGGGGAUGAGGAACACAUUAUAGAAGAGGAAUGAGAUCCAGGGGAUCAGAAACACAUUAUAGAAGAGGUCUGAGAUCCAGGGGAUCAGGAACACAUUAUAGAAGAGGUCUGAGAUCCAGGGGAU